UACGUAGGGUGCGAGCGUUAAUCGGAAUUACUGGGCGUAAAGCGUGCGCAGGCGGUGAUGUAAGACCGAUGUGAAAUCCCCGGGCUUAACCUGGGAACUGCAUUGGUGACUGCAUUGCUGGAGUGUGGCAGAGGGGGGUGGAAUUCCGCGUGUAGCAGUGAAAUGCGUAGAGAUGCGGAGGAACACCGAUGGCGAAGGCAGCCCCCUGGGCUAGCACUGACGCUGAGGAGCGAAAGCGUGGGGAGCGAACAGG
Molecule: ribosomal RNA, 253 nt
Filed under: uncultured bacterium
Lineage: Bacteria
Description: partial 16S ribosomal RNA
Rfam family: Bacterial small subunit ribosomal RNA
Source: RNAcentral